AGUGAACGCUGGCGGUAGGCCUAACACAUGCAAGUCGAACGGCAGCACAGUAAGAGCUUGCUCUUACGGGUGGCGAGUGGCGGACGGGUGAGGAAUACAUCGGAAUCUACUUUUUCGUGGGGGAUAACGUAGGGAAACUUACGCUAAUACCGCAUACGACCUACGGGUGAAAGCAGGGGAUCUUCGGACCUUGCGCGAUUGAAUGAGCCGAUGUCGGAUUAGCUAGUUGGCGGGGUAAAGGCCCACCAAGUCGACGAUCCGUAGCUGGUCUGAGAGGAUGGUCGGCCACCCUGGAACUGGGACACGGACCAGAGUCCUACGAGAGGCAGCAGUGGGGAAUAUUAGACAGUAGGCGCGAGCCUGAUCCAGCCAUACCGAGUGGGUGAAGAAGGCCUUCGGGUUGUAAAGACCUUUUGUUGGGAGAGAAAAGCAGCAGGUUAAUACGCCGCUGUUCUGACGGUACCCAAAGAAUAAGCACCGGCUAACUUCGUG
Molecule: ribosomal RNA, 492 nt
Filed under: uncultured bacterium
Lineage: Bacteria
Description: partial 16S ribosomal RNA
Rfam family: Bacterial small subunit ribosomal RNA
Source: RNAcentral